GCCGGGCCUGGUAACGUGGGCUUGUGACUCAAGUGAGGGCAUGAAGGUGGUUGAAGGUUGGUUUGGCUGGAGAGGUAGGGUGCGCUGGGGUUGAGACACUGGCUCGCCCGUUCCAAGUGGGGAGUUUGAAUCUUGUGAUCCGACCGAAGGGUUGGGUGACGUGGUUCCUAGAGUGGAGGGCACCGCGUGAGGCUGGAUUCACAGAGCAGCGUUCACCUCCCGCUCCCUUCGGUGGAAGGAUAACGUGCUGGUACUCCACGGGCCCAACGACGCCUCCUCAGCCGCUCACAACCCGACAACCACUUUU
This 307-nucleotide signal recognition particle RNA is filed under the name Vitis vinifera (wine grape). Its description in RNAcentral is "Plant signal recognition particle RNA". It matches the Rfam family "Plant signal recognition particle RNA". The record is from Rfam by way of RNAcentral. Lineage: Eukaryota; Viridiplantae; Streptophyta; Magnoliopsida; Vitales; Vitaceae.